Long non-coding RNA from Gopherus agassizii (Agassiz's desert tortoise), 1625 nucleotides. NCBI's taxonomy places the organism in Eukaryota, Metazoa, Chordata, Testudines, Testudinidae. The record is from Ensembl.
GCGGCCUGUACGUUCGUGACAGCGUAUGCUCGACUCCGCAUGAGGCCUCUCCAAUCUUGGCUCAUCGCGCAGUACCGGCCGGCCAGACAUUCGUUAGACACAGUUGUCACCAUCCCCCAGGGGGUACUGGACUCCCUCCGGUGGUGGCUAGACCAGUCCGUCGUGUGUGCAGGGCUCCCGUUCCAUCCGCCCCAACCCUCGGCAUCCCUGACGACGGACGCCUCAGAUCUGGGCUGGGGGGCGCACAGCGGAACCCUGAGGACUCAGGGCCUGUGGUCCCCCCAGGAACUGGACCUCCACAUCAACAUACGGGAGUUGAGAGCGGUCCGUCUUGCUUGUCAAGCGUUCGUCCAUCACCUUCAAGGUCGCUGUGUCGCGGUGUUCACCGACAACACGACGACCAUGUACUAUAUCAACAAGCAGGGCGGCACCAGAUCCUCUCCCCUAUGUCAGGAGGCGACGCGGCUCUGGGAAUUUUGUAUAGCCCAUGCCAUUCACCUCACGGCCUCCUACCUACCUGGAGUACGAAACACACUGGCGGAUCGCCUGAGCAGAUCCUUCCGCUCACACGAGUGGUCCCUUCGCCCGGACGUCGCCCUCUCACUCUUCCAGAGGUGGGGUCGUCCCCGGAUGGACCUCUUCGCGUCCAGGGAGAACAGGAAAUGCCAGGCAUUCUGCUCCUUUCAGGGUCGGGAGCCCGGGUCAUUAGCGGAUGCCUUCCUUAUCCCAUGGGCGACCCAUCUGUUUUAUGCGUUCCCUCCGUUUCCGCUGGUCCACAAGGUCCUCCUCAAGGUGCGCAGGGACAGGGCUCGCGUGAUUCUGAUAGCCCCAGCGUGGCCCAGGCAACAUUGGUACCCCAUGUUGCUGGACCUCUCAAUAACCAACCCAGUUCCCCUGCCCCUUCACCUGGAUCUGAUCACCCAGGACCACGGCAGGCUCUGUCACCCGGACCUUCGGUCUCUGCAUCUCACGGCGUGGCUCCUGCGUGGCUGACCAGCUCCGAGUUACGCUGCUCUACCCCGGUUCGGGAGGUUCUCCUGGGCAGUAGGAAGCCUUCCACUAGAGCUACGUAUUCAGCCAAGUGGAAGCGUUUUUCCUGCUGGUGCUCGGAGAAGGGUUUUCUCCCUAUGGAGGUUUCCAUCGCCAAUAUUCUGAACUACAUCUGGUCCCUCAAGGUCCAGGGUCUGGCGAUAUCGUCCCUUCGGGUUCACCUAGCGGCCAUCUCCACCUUUCAUCCGGGAGGAGAUGGCCGUUCUGUCUUCUCCCACCCUAUGGUGGCAAGAUUCCUGAAGGGGCUGGAACGUCUCUACCCACAGGUCCGUCCCCCUGCCCCUUCAUGGGAUCUCAACCUCGUUCUGGCUCGGCUCAUGGGCCCUCCAUUUGAGCCGUUAGCGACUUGCUCCCUGCUCUACCUCUCCUGGAAGACCGCCUUUCUAGUGGCCAUCACCUCAGCUAGACGGGUGUCGGAACUCCGGGCUCUCACGGUAGACCCCCCGUAUACGGUCUUCCAUGAGGACAAAGUGCAGCUGAGACCGCACCCUGCCUUUCUCCCUAAGGUGGUCUCAGCCUUUCACAUUAACCAGGAGAUCUUCCUUCCCGUCUUUUUCUCAAAGCCCCAUUCGUCC